This 3487-nucleotide long non-coding RNA is filed under the name Pomacea canaliculata. RNAcentral describes it as "uncharacterized LOC112553363, transcript variant X1". Lineage: Eukaryota; Metazoa; Mollusca; Gastropoda; Architaenioglossa; Ampullariidae. The record is from RNAcentral.
GACCUGAGAUUUUAGAUUUCUGGGAACGACCUCUGUGACAGGGUACAGAGAGUAUUACAGAGAACAACGAUGCACAAAACUAGUUUUGCAAUUGUGAACAUCCCCUAAUAUGUCCCGCAUCCCUCCUCUUCCGGACUGCACUCCGCUGGCAAAACUUCAUUCAUCCAGACUAGUGAUACCUAUUUCCAUGGCAGGCCGUCGGGGGGUUUUCUUCUGGUAUUCCAGUUAUCUUUCCCUCCCUCUCCCCUGAUAAUAAGAAAUCACCUUUAGGUGGUAACACUUUUCUGCCAAAACAACCAGCCGACGACCUGGCGGCGCAAGACAAGACUGCGGGACUGAGCAAAUAAAAGUAUGGCAAGAAGAAACAGACCAUAAAUGACAAACACAGCCUUCAGUGCAAACAUAUUGACCAUGCCAUCGCCAACAGUAACCUCCACUGGCAGGAGUUUACUUUGACCUGCCAGCUACUAGCUGGGUGGACGUUGACUGGCUAGCCAAUGUUCGCUCUUUUGUUCAAAACAUGUCUGUCAAGCUGUGUCAAGUUUGCACAAGCCAGCGAUUGUCUGAGAGACAUUUUCAGGAGACGGGGACCUGCAGCAACAAAGUGUAGAGGACUGACUGCGCAACACACGUUGCAUAAACCUUUGAAUAAGUGCAACAGCAAAGGUCGUUCUUAACUGAGCAAAGUGCCGAAGCGUCCAACCAAUAAAGUGUCCCCAUGGUUCAUUGUAUUGGUAGAUGUCAUGGCGAUGGACUGGCAAGCAAGUCCGGUUUCAGCAUGUUGACCAAAGUUCCAAAGUCCAGAACGUUUGGUUCAAAACCGUUGAUUUCCUGGCAAUAAUUACCUUUAAAAGUACAUAAUCACGUCUAUGAAGAAUAAUUAUGUGUGGCAGGUGGUUUCUCGUGCUGCUUUACGACACAGACACCAGUCAUUACCAGUGUAGUACAGAAGAGACAGAAUGUUGCUACAAAGACCCCACAGAAGCCUGUGAUGUUCAUUUUCUGUCUCUCCAGUCAGCGUGCGACUCCCUGCAGUUGCCGCAGCAUUGUGUGUAGACUAUUGAUGGUCAGCUUCAGAAUAAUGAAAUAAUGUGUUUGCCGUCAGUGUGCUGAUGUCGGUGCUAAGGCCUGUCGCCAAGAGUUCAAUCUGGGAGAUGUUCGGAAUCCUAUCAUUCCAAAGACUUCUGCAGUUUGGUUAAUUUCAUUGCCUUGCUUGGUACCCAUCGGCUAAACGUAUGCUUACUUGCUCGUGCGUGCGUGCGUGCGUGCGUAUGUGUGUGUGAGAGAGAGAGAACACAACGCAGUAGUCAUGGUGACUGUCAGCUUCUCCUAAGAGUAAGUAAUUUUCAACCUUUUUAUUUCCUGCUGAUAUUGCUUUGCUUUAACUGGUCAGUAUUUUAUUUCUAUCUUUCAGAAUGUUGCCGGUCCAUUGAAUGUGACAAUCCCUGACAAGUGCUCUUUUGGUCUUCAUCUGAGGAUGUUAGAGGAUUCACAAUUUUUAUUACAACAAAUGAACAAUUCACACUUACAGGAAGCACACAUGUUCUCAAGAUGACCUGCAGAAUCGGCAUCACGAGAGUCUACCCGGGGUACUUUAUGCACUGUCCUGGUCACUUUGGUGGGCAGUGACCAAAGGCCACGUGACAAAUGUAGUGUCCGGACCCACCCAGGCUCUAUUUCGUUUGUGUCCCUCGCAAUUUCCGGCGGAGUACUCGCGUUAUUAUAACAGAUGCCGGGUACUUUUGCUGAUGUCUGCACCAGAUAUCUCUGGGCAGAAUGACUUGACCACUGAGUGUCUGUGUUCCUCUGAACACAGGCCAAGCCAACUGUCUUCAAAUAUCCGUAGCUCAGACCUUUUCAAAAUAAAUUUUUGCAAUCGCUUUGGUCUACGAAAGAGAAUGUGCCUCUCGUUAAGCUCGAAAUGCUCUCACACUGUUUCCAGCUUACUUGGGUAUUCUUAUACUUGUUAUUUUAUAAGUAUUUUGAAGUGAGUAAACUUAAUUUGCUUUCGUCAGUUAGUUAAAAAUGCUAGCGUCUCUACGAUAAUUCAAAACUCAGAAAUUAUUGGUAAGAGUGAGAGUCUGAAUGUUUAGUUUACUGUGAACUUUAAGUGGUUCACUAUUUCUAGGGCACGGCAUGUGAAAGGCGUAGCUCAACUCCCUGCUAUUACAGCAAACCCCUCAAGGUUCCUCUUAGCAAAGUGUUUUCUGUUUAUUAAGACUGGCAUUUGGAAGAUAAUGCAGAAUAAUGUCUGUGUCGCAAAUGUAGCAAAAUCCUCAUUUCGAAAAUAAGAUGGACUUAUUGGUAAAUACAAAUCUUACUUAUAUCACUUACAAUCAACAAAGUACUAAGGUGAAGUCUCGCUAUGUCUCGUGUUACCUCAAGCCGAGGACGUGAACAGCAUCUUGGACGACAAGGAGCCGAUGAUAAAAAAGUCGCUGACCGCUGCACAUUCCAAGGCCACAAAAGCAGACAACAGACCGUCUGCCGUUGCUAUGGGAAUUACGGCAGGCAUCAUCUUUGCUCUCAUAGUGAUCGGGAUCGUGCUGCUGGACGCAGCCAAUCUGUGGCGUGACGUCAGCGGCAUGCUGCAGAACAUCGGCGUGUACUACCAACAUGGCGGUGUCGCACCUGAGGACAGGCCGCUGGGGGAGACUUCGACAAGGUCUUGAAAUCAGCGCUGAGCUACCUUCACCUCCUUCUUCUUCUACAAGAGGUCAGCGCGUGAAGAUGGGAGGAGGGGAUCAGAAGAGGAAGGGCGAGUUUACACACCAGCAUCCUACUCAAUGGGCUUAGGAUUAGAAAGAUAUUAAAAACUUUGUUCCCCUGAGAAACCCUAUUAUAUGAGUGCUAAUGCCUUUCUGGUAUCCUACAAUUACUCGGGUUUGUCUCUUUUACUUCGUAUCAUUUUUCAUUCUAUUUUUCUCCUGCUCAUCAAAUUCUCACCCACUCGCUCACGUACGCACGCACUUUAAAGACAUGCAUACUGUCUACAAAAGGAGACUUGUACAGUUACAUUACUGUUUUUUAUGUUGUGUAUUAGUGUAUUAGAUAUUAGUCUUUUUAUUAUCUAUAUUUAAUAAUCUUUUAAAAUAUGUGGAGAGAGAGAGAGAGGAUGGGUGGGUGCGAUGAAUGAAAAGAUGAAAACCUGCUUUCGCGCCGCACGUGAUGUCUGAUGAUAAUGACACUAAAUUAAUAUUAUGAUCAGUUUCAUCCUCUUACACUGUCAUCUUUCAAUGAGAAUAUCAUCGAAGAUGAUAUCCGCGUGUCAGUGUGCACCUUUUUACAAUGUUAGUAGGUCUGGAAUUACUUUGAUGAUCAUCAAUUAGAAGCUUUUAUUUCCUUUUAAGAAAGAAGCUAGUGUAGUUUUUGUAUGUUUACAAGCGCAGCAGCAGUCUGAGUUCUGCAUGGAAAUUUACUAUAUAUUGAUUGUAUGUGUACUUUAUGAAAAUAAUUAUAGUUUACUUAUUAAAUUUCGUAUUUUGUG